UUGGAUCCAUUUAAAAGAAUA
Molecule: non-coding RNA, 21 nt
Filed under: Caenorhabditis elegans
Lineage: Eukaryota; Metazoa; Nematoda; Chromadorea; Rhabditida; Rhabditidae
Source: RNAcentral